Molecule: ribosomal RNA, 249 nt
Filed under: uncultured bacterium
Lineage: Bacteria
Description: partial 16S ribosomal RNA
Rfam family: Bacterial small subunit ribosomal RNA
Source: RNAcentral
GAUCAUGGCUCAGGAUGAACGCUAGCGACAGGCUUAACACAUGCAAGUCGAGGGGCAGCGAGGGAGUGGCAACACUUCCGUCGGCGACCGGCGCACGGGUGAGUAACGCGUAUGCAACCUGCCCUUCACAGGGGGAUAACCGGGAGAAAUUCCGACUAAUACCGCAUACGUCCUCCGGGGGCAUCCCCGGGGGAUGAAAGAAUUAUCGGUGAAGGAUGGGCAUGCGUGAUAUUAGGUAGUUGGCGGGCG